This 253-nucleotide ribosomal RNA is filed under the name uncultured bacterium. Its description in RNAcentral is "partial 16S ribosomal RNA". It matches the Rfam family "Bacterial small subunit ribosomal RNA", at positions 524 to 776 of the family's 1533-position model. The record is from RNAcentral.
UACGAAGGGGGCUAGCGUUGCUCGGAAUCACUGGGCGUAAAGGGCGCGUAGGCGGACUUUUAAAUCAGGGGUGAAAUCCUGAGGCUCAACCUCAGAACUGCCUUUGAUACUGAGGGUCUCGAGACCGGUAGAGGUAAGUGGAACUGCGAGUGUAGAGGUGAAAUUCGUAGAUAUUCGCAAGAGCACCAGUGGCGAAGGCGGCUUACUGGACCGGUUCUGACGCUGAGGCGCGAAAGCGUGGGGAGCAAACAGG